GCCCGAGUGGGGUAAUCUGGAUAUCCUAGGGGCCUGCGGAGCCUCAGAUUCGGGUUCAAAUCCCGGCUCGGGCG
This 74-nucleotide transfer RNA is filed under the name Methanobacteriota archaeon. RNAcentral describes it as "Euryarchaeota archaeon (hot springs metagenome) tRNA-Arg". It matches the Rfam family "tRNA". From Rfam's summary of the family: Transfer RNA (tRNA) molecules are approximately 80 nucleotides in length. RNAcentral also lists the same sequence under 2 other names. Lineage: Archaea; Methanobacteriati; Methanobacteriota. The record is from RNAcentral.